UGCCAGACUCCUACGGGAGGCAGCAGUGGGGAAUAUUGCACAAUGGGGGGAACCCUGAUGCAGCGACGCCGCGUGGGUGAAGGAGCGUUUCGGCGCGUAAAGCCCUAUCGGCAGGGAAGAAGAUGACGGUACCUGACCAAGAAGCCCCGGCUAACUACGUGCCAGCAGCCGCGGUAAUACGUAGGGGGCAAGCGUUAUCCGGAUUUACUGGGUGUAAAGGGGGCGCAGACGGCGAUGCAAGCCAGGAGUGAAAGCCCGGGGCCCAACCCCGGGACUGCUCUUGGAACUGCGUGGCUGGAGUGCAGGAGGGGCAGGCGGAAUUCCUGGUGUAGCGGUGAAAUGCGUAGAUAUCAGGAGGAACACCGGUGGCGAAGGCGGCCUGCUGGACUGCAACUGACGUUGAGGCCCGAAAGCGUGGGGAGCAAACAGGAUUAGAUACCCUAGUA
Molecule: ribosomal RNA, 446 nt
Filed under: uncultured bacterium
Lineage: Bacteria
Description: bacterial SSU rRNA
Rfam family: Bacterial small subunit ribosomal RNA
Source: RNAcentral